This 440-nucleotide ribosomal RNA is filed under the name uncultured bacterium. Its description in RNAcentral is "bacterial SSU rRNA". It matches the Rfam family "Bacterial small subunit ribosomal RNA", at positions 958 to 1398 of the family's 1533-position model. The record is from RNAcentral.
AACGCGAAGAACCUUACCUACCCUUGACAUCCAGAGAAGACUGUAGAGAUACGGUUGUGCCGAAAGGAACUCUGAGACAGGUGCUGCAUGGCUGUCGUCAGCUCGUGUUGUGAGAUGUUGGGUUAAGUCCCGUAACGAGCGCAACCCUUAUCUUUAGUUGCCAACAUGUAAUGGUGGGGACUCUAAAGAGACUGCUGGUGAUGAACCGGAGGAAGGCGGGGACGACGUCAAGUCAUCAUGGCCUUUAUGGGUAGGGCUACACACGUGCUACAAUGGGGCGUACAGAGGGUUGCCAACCUGCGAAGGGGAGCCAAUCUCUUAAAGCGCCUCGUAGUCCGGAUCGGAGUCUGCAACUCGACUCCGUGAAGUCGGAAUCGCUAGUAAUCGCGAAUCAGAACGUCGCGGUGAAUACGUUCCCGGGCCUUGUACACACCGGAGUA